This is a non-coding RNA of Phascolarctos cinereus (koala), 540 nucleotides long. The record is from RefSeq and is a predicted model, not a curated record. NCBI's taxonomy places the organism in Eukaryota, Metazoa, Chordata, Mammalia, Diprotodontia, Phascolarctidae.
CUCAACAUUCAAACUCUGUGUCUUAAAGCAUGUUCCUCACUUGCGUAUUUAUGUAUAAUGCCAUACGAAGAUCUGUAGGCAGAGGAGUGGGAGUGACGAUAAGAAAAGGGGAAAGAAGGACCUAAAAAUUGUUACCCCUAUUGAUCAAGAUGACACAGAUCUUUGUGGCAUUCUGUCCUCUGAAGUUUUUCUUCAAGGGAUUAAAAAAAAACCCCAGAAUCUUUUCAUUCAUUAUAAGACAUUUACAUAUGUCAAGAAAUGCUGAUCAUCUUCCUGAAUUGAGACUGAAGAAUCCAUCACCCUGCAGCCAACCUCGUGAUGAGUCUCUCUGAAUUUAUCCAGAUUGGUCCUUGGACAAAAAAACAUAUAAUUCACCAUCAGCCUGGCACAGAAAGUCUCUCCAGCUUGGUAGGACCUGCCAAAACUUUUGCACCUUUGGUAUUAUCUUCAAGAAUCCAGAAUCAUUUGUACACCAUAGUCUGGCAUCUGAUUAGGACUGUAAGAGAGGCAAGCCAAAACGGUACAAGGAAAUAAAGAGUG